Non-coding RNA from Xyrichtys novacula (pearly razorfish), 389 nucleotides. The record is from the annotation of a GenBank genome assembly. NCBI's taxonomy places the organism in Eukaryota, Metazoa, Chordata, Actinopteri, Labriformes, Labridae.
GGUUACAGUGAGGUCAACCUGCGGGAUCAGAGCUCAGAGCUCCACAACAGAGAUGCUUAAUGGUCUCGAGCAGUGUGACAGGAAGACAGUUAAAAGGUCAAUGCGAAGCCUGUUGUGAGGCUGAGGAUCACGGGGGGAUGAGGGAAAAGACUAAGGAGACAAUAUUAAGGAUUUAAACUGAAGAAGAGCUUGUCUGUACAUCUUUGUCAUGAAAUUAUGAAAGUGACAUUUUAUUUUGCUUUAAUUCUCACCACUAAAAAGAAGUAAAAAAGAAGUCUAGGCUUCAAGGACUGAUGUUAAACACGAGUAUCUUAAGAUGUUUGAAAGGCAGCUUACUUUCCAACGACAAUAAAACUAAAAUCUUUCAAAAAGGAUUCAAAAUCUCUUUA